This 240-nucleotide ribosomal RNA is filed under the name uncultured bacterium. Its description in RNAcentral is "partial 16S ribosomal RNA". It matches the Rfam family "Bacterial small subunit ribosomal RNA", at positions 116 to 354 of the family's 1533-position model. The record is from RNAcentral.
CGUAAGCAACCUGCCUAUCAGAGGGGAACAACAGUUAGAAAUGACUGCUAAUACCGCAUAUGCCUUGAGUAUUGCAUGAUACAAAAGGGAAAGGAGCAAUCCGCUGAUAGAUGGGCUUGCGUCUGAUUAGCUAGUUGGUGGGGUAAAGGCCUACCAAGGCGACGAUCAGUAGCCGGACUGAGAGGUUGAACGGCCACAUUGGGACUGAGAUACGGCCCAGACUCCUACGGGAGGCAGCAG